This 497-nucleotide ribosomal RNA is filed under the name uncultured bacterium. RNAcentral describes it as "partial 16S ribosomal RNA". It matches the Rfam family "Bacterial small subunit ribosomal RNA", at positions 28 to 507 of the family's 1533-position model. The record is from RNAcentral.
GAUGAACGCUGGCGGCGUGCCUAAUACAUGCAAGUCGAGCGAACGGACGAGAAGCUUGCUUCUCUGAUGUUAGCGGCGGACGGGUGAGUAACACGUGGAUAACCUACCUAUAAGACUGGGAUAACUUCGGGAAACCGGAGCUAAUACCGGAUAAUAUUUUGAACCGCAUGGUUCAAAAGUGAAAGACGGUCUUGCUGUCACUAAUAGAUGGAUCCGCGCUGCAUUAGCUAGUUGGUAAGGUAACGGCUUACCAAGGCAACGAUGCAUAGCCGACCUGAGAGGGUGAUCGGCCACACUGGAACUGAGACACGGUCCAGACUCCUACGGGAGGCAGCAGUAGGGAAUCUUCCGCAAUGGGCGAAAGCCUGACGGGGCCACGCCGCGUGAGUGAUGAAGGUCUUCGGAUCGUAAAACUCUGUUAUUAGGGAAGAACAUAUGUGUAAGUACCUGUGCACAUCUUGACGUUACCUAAUCAGAAAGCCACGGCUAACUACGUG